RNAcentral lists this unclassified non-coding RNA (171 nucleotides) under uncultured Sordariomycetes. Its description in RNAcentral is "sequence contains ITS1". The record is from RNAcentral. Lineage: Eukaryota; Fungi; Ascomycota; Sordariomycetes.
CAGAGUUGCAAAACUCCCAACCAUUGUGAACCUACCUCACCGUUGCUUCGGCGGGUGGCCAGGGGCAACCCAGGCCGCGCCAGCGCCCCUCUUCAGGGCUCGGCAACCCCGUCAGAAGACCGAAACUCUUCGUCAUCAGUGGGCUCUCUGAGUAACUUAUACAAUAAGUCA